CCCGGGGCCCGGCGUUGCCGCCCCUUCCGUGUGCACGUGGAGGCCGGGGUGGGGCGGGGCAGG
Molecule: microRNA precursor, 63 nt
Filed under: Chlorocebus sabaeus (green monkey)
Lineage: Eukaryota; Metazoa; Chordata; Mammalia; Primates; Cercopithecidae
Description: miRNA (ENSCSAG00000026512.1)
Source: RNAcentral